Molecule: long non-coding RNA, 815 nt
Organism: Acanthochromis polyacanthus (spiny chromis)
Lineage: Eukaryota; Metazoa; Chordata; Actinopteri; Pomacentridae
Exons: 2
Source: RefSeq, a predicted model, not a curated record
UUAGUGAACAAAGAUUUCUGAGAGAGAUAGGAAUGUGUAAAUGUAUUUGUUGUCUUUCUGUGCAGAUUAUUGUGGUGUCAUGACUCUCGUCCUGCCUGGUCAGGUUUUUGUCUGCUGCCUUAUUUUAUUAUGUGCCAGGCUUUGUUUGGUGCCAUGUUCCUGUUGUCUAUGCUGUGCUUUGGUCCAUCUCUCUCUCUCUCUCUCUCUCUCUCUCGCUCUCCUAAGUAGGUCAGAGUGGCUUCAGCUUCAGCUGAGGCCACUCUCCUCAUCAAGGGUGCAGCUCUGGCUGAGCAGCUGUCUCCGAUUCAUCAUUACACAUCUCUGACAAUAAAAAGCCGGUUCAGACACUCAUUCGAUGCCGGAUUGUUAUAUGACUACCAAUUCAUUCUGCUCAGCACAACGGAUUCCUAGAUCAUCCCUCAGCCAUCCACAGCCAGAACCCAGCCGAGAUUCACCACCAGGAGGAGACCACAGCCGAGACCAAAGCCCAGAACCACAGCUAAGUGAAUUCUACAGCCAAGACCAAACCUAGAACCUCAGCCAAGAGAAUUCAACAGCCAAGUCCAAGCCUAGAACCUCAGCCAAAAGAGAUCCACAGCUAAAACCAAGAGCCCAGAGUCUCCGCCAAGAGAAAACCACAGCCAAGCCCAAGCCAAGAAUCACAGCCAAGAGAAGACCACAGCCGAAGACCAACCCCAAACCCCAGCCAUAAAGAAAUCUUCAUCCCAUCACCACCACGACCCAAGCCCUGCGCCCCAGACAACCCAACCUCCACAAACCACUCCCUUCCCUCACAAUAAAAUCCCUAAACUCUC